AGCUAGUUGGUGGGGUAAGAGCUCACCAAGGCGACGAUCUGUAGCGGGUCUGAGAGGAUGAUCCGCCACACUGGAACUGAGACACGGUCCAGACUCCUACGGGAGGCAGCAGUGGGGAAUUUUGUACAAUGGGGGCAACCCUGAUCCAGCCAUGCCGCGUGAGUGAAGAAGGCCUUCGGGUUGUAAAGCUCUUUCGGCCGGGAAGAAAUCGUAUCAGCUAAUACCUGGUGCGGAUGACGGUACCGGCAUAAGAAGCACCGGCUAACUACGUGCCAGCAGCCGCGGUAAUACGUAGGGUGCGAGCGUUAAUCGGAAUUACUGGGCGUAAAGCGUGCGCAGGCGGUUUUGUAAGACAGGCGUGAAAUCCCCGGGCUCAACCUGGGAACUGCGUUUGUGACUGCAAGGCUAGAGUACGGCAGAGGGGGGUGGAAUUCCACGUGUAGCAGUGAAAUGCGUAGAGAUGUGGAGGAACACCAAUGGCGAAGGCAGCCCCCUGGGUCGGUACUGACGCUCAUGCACGAAAGCGUGGGUAGCAAACAGGAUUAGAUACCCUGGUAGUCCACGCCCUAAACGAUGUCAACUAGGUGUUGGGAGGGUAAAACCUUUUAGUACCGGAGCUAACGCGUGAAGUUGACCGCCUGGGGAGUACGGCCGCAAGGUUAAAACUCAAAGGAAUUGACGGGGACCCGCACAAGCGGUGGAUGAUGUGGAUUAAUUCGAUGCAACGCGAAAAACCUUACCUACCCUUGACAUGUCAGGAACUUUCCAGAGAUGGAUUGGUGCUCGAAAGAGAACCUGAACACAGGUGCUGCAUGGCUGUCGUCAGCUCGAGUCGUGAGAUGUUGGGUUAAGUCCCGCAACGAGCGCAACCCUUGUCGUUAAUUGCCAUCAUUUAGUUGGGCACUUUAACGAGACUGCCGGUGACAAACCGGAGGAAGGUGGGGAUGACGUCAAGUCCUCAUGGCCCUUAUGGGUAGGGCUUCACACGUCAUACAAUGGUCGGUACAAAGGGUCGCCAAGCCGCGAGGUGGAGCUAAUCCCAGAAAGCCGAUCGUAGUCCGGAUUGCAGGCUGCAACUCGCCUGCAUGAAGUCGGAAUCGCUAGUAAUCGUGGAUCAGCAUGCCACGGUGAAUACGUUCCCGGGUCUUGUACACACCGCCCGUCACACCAUGGGAGCGGGUUCCGCCAGAAAUAGGUAGCCUAACCGCAAGGAGGGCGCUUACCACGGCGGGGUUCGUGACUGGGGUGAAGUCGUAACAAGGUAGCCGUAGGGGAACCUGCGGCUG
This 1286-nucleotide ribosomal RNA is filed under the name metagenome. RNAcentral describes it as "bacterial SSU rRNA". It matches the Rfam family "Bacterial small subunit ribosomal RNA", at positions 243 to 1520 of the family's 1533-position model. The record is from RNAcentral.